UAUAACCGGCGAUUUCCGAAUGGGGAAACCCAGUGUGAUUCGUCACACUAUCAUUAACUGAAUCCAUAGGUUAAUGAGGCGAACCGGGGGAACUGAAACAUCUAAGUACCCCGAGGAAAAGAAAUCAACCGAGAUUCCCCCAGUAGCGGCGAGCGAACGGGGAGCAGCCCAGAGCCUGAAUCAGUGUGUGUGUUAGUGGAAGCGUCUGGAAAGGCGCGCGAUACAGGGUGAC
This 232-nucleotide ribosomal RNA is filed under the name Escherichia coli. Its description in RNAcentral is "partial 23S ribosomal RNA". It matches the Rfam family "Bacterial large subunit ribosomal RNA", at positions 99 to 368 of the family's 2925-position model. Lineage: Bacteria; Pseudomonadati; Pseudomonadota; Gammaproteobacteria; Enterobacterales; Enterobacteriaceae. The record is from RNAcentral.